GUGACCUAGCUAACUGAAAUCACAUUUGUGUCAUUUGUGAUGUCGUAAGGGAAAAUCAUGAUACUACCUUACUAUUAGUGUCGUCCAAAACUGGUGCCAGAAGACUCGGUAAGGCCAGAGACGCAAACGUUAGUCGUCCUAAUCAGGCGUAAAGGGUGUGUAGGCUGCUUUGAAAGUUUUAUUUUUUAAAAUUUAGUCUAAACCAAUACAGAAAAACUAAUUUUAUUUUAUGGUAUAGUUUUAAUAACUAAUUCUAUUUUAUGAUUUAAGUUCCCCUUUGAUUCUAAUCUGAAUCCCCUACUCUCUUUCUUUCUAUUUCAAGAUGCAAGAGGGUGGUGAUGGAUAAGGUUAGAUCGAGAGGAGCGUAAUGUUAUCUUAUUUAAUUUAUUAUGAAAUAGUAUAUAAUUAAGGUUACUUAGUAAAAAAUAAAAUGAAUUAAAGCUAGAAUCAAAUAGGGGAUAUAUUAAAUAAUACUUAGAGUAGGGAUUAAAUCCUUAAAAACUUAAGGGAAUACUAAUGGUGAAAGCUUUUUUUCUACUAAUGAUUGACGCUGAGAAACGAAGGGGAGGAUAGGAAAUAGGAUUAGAGACCCAGUUACCCCUCUCUGUCAACGAUGAAUGGUGGUUACUAGUUUUUAUAUAAUCUGGUGGCGAUGUUAACACGAUAACCAUUCCGCCUUGUGAGUACGACUGCAAAGUUGAAAACA
RNAcentral lists this ribosomal RNA (706 nucleotides) under Jaapia argillacea. RNAcentral describes it as "partial small subunit ribosomal RNA". It matches the Rfam family "Bacterial small subunit ribosomal RNA", at positions 405 to 902 of the family's 1533-position model. The record is from RNAcentral. Lineage: Eukaryota; Fungi; Basidiomycota; Agaricomycetes; Jaapiales; Jaapiaceae.